GGCGCUGGCGGCGUGCCUAAUACAUGCAAGUCGAACGAGUUCUGAUUAUUGAAGGGUGCUUGCAUCUUGAUUUAAUUUUGAACGAGUGGCGGACGGGUGAGUAACACGUGGGUAACCUGCCCUUAAGUGGGGGAUAACAUUUGGAAACAGAUGCUAAUACCGCAUAAAUCCAAGAACCGCAUGGUUCUUGGCUGAAAGAUGGCGUAAGCUAUCGCUUUUGGAUGGACCCGCGGCGUAUUAGCUAGUUGGUGAGGUAACGGCUCACCAAGGCAAUGAUACGUAGCCGAACUGAGAGGUUGAUCGGCCACAUUGGGACUGAGACACGGCCCAAACUCCUACGGGAGGCAGCAGUAGGGAAUCUUCCACAAUGGACGCAAGUCUGAUGGAGCAACGCCGCGUGAGUGAAGAAGGCUUUCGGGUCGUAAAACUCUGUUGUUGGAGAAGAAUGGUCGGCAGAGUAACUGUUGUCGGCGUGACGGUAUCCAACCAGAAAGCCACGGCUAACUACGUGCCAGCAGCCGCGGUAAUACGUAGGUGGCAAGCGUUAUCCGGAUUUAUUGGGCGUAAAGCGAGCGCAGGCGGUUUUUUAAGUCUGAUGUGAAAGCCCUCGGCUUAACCGAGGAAGUGCAUCGGAAACUGGGAAACUUGAGUGCAGAAGAGGACAGUGGAACUCCAUGUGUAGCGGUGAAAUGCGUAGAUAUAUGGAAGAACACCAGUGGCGAAGGCGGCUGUCUGGUCUGUAACUGACGCUGAGGCUCGAAAGCAUGGGUAGCGAACAGGAUUAGAUACCCUGGUAGUCCAUGCCGUAAACGAUGAAUGCUAGGUGUUGGAGGGUUUCCGCCCUUCAGUGCCGCAGCUAACGCAUUAAGCAUUCCGCCUGGGGAGUACGACCGCAAGGUUGAAACUCAAAGGAAUUGACGGGGGCCCGCACAAGCGGUGGAGCAUGUGGUUUAAUUCGAAGCAACGCGAAGAACCUUACCAGGUCUUGACAUCUUUUGAUCACCUGAGAGAUCAGGUUUCCCCUUCGGGGGCAAAAUGACAGGUGGUGCAUGGUUGUCGUCAGCUCGUGUCGUGAGAUGUUGGGUUAAGUCCCGCAACGAGCGCAACCCUUAUGACUAGUUGCCAGCAUUUAGUUGGGCACUCUAGUAAGACUGCCGGUGACAAACCGGAGGAAGGUGGGGAUGACGUCAAAUCAUCAUGCCCCUUAUGACCUGGGCUACACACGUGCUACAAUGGAUGGUACAACGAGUUGCGAGACCGCGAGGUCAAGCUAAUCUCUUAAAGCCAUUCUCAGUUCGGACUGUAGGCUGCAACUCGCCUACACGAAGUCGGAAUCGCUAGUAAUCGCGGAUCAGCACGCCGCGGUGAAUACGUUCCCGGGCCUUGUACACACCGCCCGUCACACCAUGAGAGUUUGUAACACCCGAAGCCGGUGGCGUAACCCUUUUAGGGAGCGAGCC
This 1460-nucleotide ribosomal RNA is filed under the name Lacticaseibacillus rhamnosus. RNAcentral describes it as "bacterial SSU rRNA". It matches the Rfam family "Bacterial small subunit ribosomal RNA". The record is from RNAcentral. Lineage: Bacteria; Bacillati; Bacillota; Bacilli; Lactobacillales; Lactobacillaceae.